ACUCCUACGGGAGGCAGCAGUGGGGAAUAUUGCACAAUGGGGAAACCCUGAUGCAGCCAUGCCGCGUGUGUGAAGAAGGCCUUCGGUUGUAAAGCACUUCAGUAGGGAGGAAGGUAGUGUAGUUAACACCUGCAUUAUUUGACGUUACCUACAGAAGAAGCACCGGCUAACUCCGUGCCAGCAGCCGCGGUAAUACGGAGGGGUGCGAGCGUUAAUCGGAAUUACUGGGCGUAAAGCGCAUGCAGGCGGCCUGUUAAGUCAGAUGUGAAAGCCCGGGGGCUUAACCUCGGAAUUGCAUUUGAAACUGGCAGGCUAGAGUCUUGUAGAGGGGGUAGAAUUUCAGGUGUAGCGGUGAAAUGCGUAGAGAUCUGAAGGAAUACCAGU
RNAcentral lists this ribosomal RNA (384 nucleotides) under uncultured bacterium. RNAcentral's name for it is "bacterial SSU rRNA". It matches the Rfam family "Bacterial small subunit ribosomal RNA", at positions 335 to 713 of the family's 1533-position model. The record is from RNAcentral.